UACGUAGGGUGCGAGCGUUAAUCGGAAUUACUGGGCGUAAAGCGUGCGCAGGCGGUGCGCCAAGCUCGAUGUGAAAGCCCCGGGCUUAACCUGGGAAUUGCAUUGAGGACUGGCGUGCUCGAGUGCGGCAGAGGGGGGUGGAAUUCCACGUGUAGCAGUGAAAUGCGUAGAGAUGUGGAGGAACACCGAUGGCGAAGGCAGCCUCCUGGGAUAACACUGACGCUCAGGCACGAAAGCGUGGGGAGCAAACAGG
Molecule: ribosomal RNA, 253 nt
Filed under: uncultured bacterium
Lineage: Bacteria
Description: partial 16S ribosomal RNA
Rfam family: Bacterial small subunit ribosomal RNA
Source: RNAcentral